Molecule: long non-coding RNA, 2613 nt
Filed under: Vigna radiata
Lineage: Eukaryota; Viridiplantae; Streptophyta; Magnoliopsida; Fabales; Fabaceae
Description: long non-coding RNA (VRAD_LNC013864)
Source: RNAcentral
UACAAUAAUAUUUUAAAAUAUAAUCAUUGUAUCAUCAAGUAGGUACCAUGACAUGACAUUGUUCUAUAAGAGGUAUAUACAAUCGUAACAUAUAUAUCCUAUUUAUACCCUAUAAGCAUGUACAUCACCAUAACAUAACCUAUAAACAUGUACUAAUUAUAUGUAAACGUCAAUCUUCCCUAACUUCAAUAAUUUGAUUGUCAUGAUAUUGUUGAUAUCUGCAAUUAGGAAAAUACUGCAACAAAGAAAAAUAAUAUAAAAUUAGUCAAUUAAACUUUUUCUGCAAAUUAAUUAUGACAAUAAAGAUAACUUACCUUAGUUGAAAUUGUUCCUCCUUCACAUGUGAUAAUUUCUUUCAUAUACUGACACACAUAAUAUCCAUAAUCAUUAUCAUUGGGUUGUCUUAAAUACUAGAAAACCAAAAGUAGAAAACAUAAUUAUAAUUUGAACAUAACUGUAAAUCAAAAGUCUAGUAAACUCUAAACAAAUUCAGUGUAUGGUAACAAACAAUUAUAUACCAUGCUUUCAUUAUAACCAUAUACUCCUACAACCAGUUUCACAAUAAUAUGUUUUAUUCACUUGAACUUUGAAAAUAUUCUUUUUAAGAACUUUAAGUUCAAUGUUAUAAUAUACACUUAUUACACAUUUACAAUAGUUCAUAAUGCUAUCAAAGCAGGAGCAAUCUACCAGUCCAUGUUUUUGAUUUUGAUCACAAUAGCAAUCAAAGCAGGAGUAAUAUACACUUAUUACUCAUAUACACUUAUUACACAUUUACACUUACUCCACAAAUGAUUUUGAUCUGACAAAAAAAUGCAACAAUGUGUAAAGGCAUCCAACCAGAAAGCAUCACAUUACAAAAGCUCUCAACAAAGAACAAAAGAAUAAAGGUAGCAUGUUUUUAACUUUAAAACCAUACCCAAUCAACUAUACUACACCACACCAUCCUUAAUAUCAUAAGGAGUUAAUUAAUUUAAACGCAACCCAAAACAGAGUGACAAUUAGCAGAAUAUGUAAUCACAACGCUCGUAGGUAUAACAUUCAAUUACAACUUAAACCAAGUUUAAAUUAUGAUAUUUCAGCCAUCUAAACUAGUCCACAAACAAGGGUGUAUCAGGUUUAUAGUCACUUACCAAGCAUUAUGUUACUUCAUAUAUGGCAUACAUUGCAUCACAAUAUUUCAAACUGAAAAUUCUAUAAUUAAUUAAUUAUUAUAUUGCAUAUAUUUUUUUGUUGAAGAAUAGUUGAUAAUUUAGGUUUAUUUGUUGUUUACUUUUUUAAUUUUAUGGAAGCUUUACAAAGGUUUGCAGUAAUUAAUUGCAAAGUUGAGAACAGCUUAUAUAUAAAAAAGUAUUAAGUAGAGGGUAAUGCGGCACACCAAACUUCACAAAUGUACUGCUUUGUUUUUAUUACUGCUCAUUUUUUUUUUGUUACUUUUAAAACCUUAAAAUUGGUACCACCAUGUAAAUUUUUGGCUUUUUUCAUUGAUGAGAUUGUUAUGAGUUUAUAUCCUAAAGCCAAUUCAACAUUUGGAAAAUAUUGGUACAUAUAAAAUGUUGGAAUGUAAAAUAUUACCAAAAAAAAAAUUACUGGACUAUUUGAUGCCCUCAAAUUCUCCACCAGAUCUGCAAUCUCCAACUGCUUCAUCACUAUAGCAUGAAGCACCCGCAUUAAUAGACAAAAUAUAAAUACUAUAUAGUUAGGAUAGUUAACAGAAAACUGAUGAAGCCUUUUUUUCUUUUUAAUUGAUUCUUCUUCUGAAAGAAACGAUUCAACUGAAACACAAUAAGUAAAUUUCUUUAUAAACAGAGUAAGUAAUCUAAAUAACUUAAAUGGUAAUGAGUAUUACAACAAAGAACUCAUGAGCUAAUUUCAUCACUGAAACAUGAGGAUGAUGGUAGUAGAAACCAAGCCUCUAAAAACAAAUAGAAGAAAAGAAAUCAAGGAUAUAUUUACCUAUAUCAUUUUAAUCAUAAAGCUCAGCAUAGAAUACAUAUAUUAUCUUCCACUUGGAUACCGACAUGAUUGCAGAGAUAAAAAUCAAAUCCUAUUAGAGCAAUAUAUUUACUCAUUUAAUUUUUUACAUGAGCAAUUCAAUUUAGUUACACUCAGCAUACCAGGCAAUAUAUUUCCACUCUUUCUAUAUUGUUUCUGUCCUUGUGGUUGUUUGCAAACAACUGAGUAUGGCAUUAGAACAUUAAUGACAUUCUCUAUUAUUUUACUAGAGGUUAAUAGUUUGGUUCUAAAGAAGCACAUGUCUGCAAGCAUAUACAUAUAUGUAUUCUUGUCACAACAUGUGGUAUAUAUUGAACAAUUAGAACGUAUGUAGGAAUGUGUAAAAGAUUAUGAUUUUGACCUUUCGAAUUACAUCUAACUCGUAUAGUAGAACUUGGUAAAAUUUCCCUUCAUUACAUCAUUCCUGUUCGAAUUUCUUGUUAGCAUAACAGUUUCAACAAACUAUAAUUUUUAAAAAUUUAGCCCCUGUAUCAUAAUUAACAUAAAUUAAAAAUACAUACCUAAAAAAUAUAAUCCUUAAAGGUUUUUGUCCUGUUACUUUUUCUAAAGAAAAUCAACAAAUCUCUGCAAAAAAAAAAAAAAAAAGGACACAACAAAAUU